GUACUGCUCUGUUAGCAGCAGGAGCAAAUGAAAGAAUUCAGUGUCAGCAUUUUCUGUUUCUCAUCUGACAAACAAGGUCAGGUACUUCUUUGAACAACCCAGUUCCAAUAGCUGUGAAACAUAAAGAGACAAGCAGGGGAAGAUUUUCCAGAAAGGCUGGUGGCUAGGCACAAGGAAGCAGAUGAAAGAGAAAGUUCUACAAGCGGUUGGAAGAAAUGGGUGCUCUGGAGGUCAGGGCUGAAGUGAGGAGUUUUGAGAGUUGAGGUUCAGGCUGUGAGGAUUGUAUCUCUCCCCCAGCAAUCCUCUGCCAAGUGAGCCCUUUAUAUGCAAGGCAGUUUAUAUCUCACACACCUCUCUGUGCACCUUCUGUUUUUAACUCCCCAGGAGUAAAUUUUUCAGCCUCUUUCUUUAUAGCAAAUUACACCAUUAAUGUCAUCCUGGCGAAUGAAACAAGAGAAUAGUAUUUAUCAGAGAAAGUCUGGUGAGUUGAAGUCCAAGACCCCAGGAAACAACUAGCCCUGCUGGGCUGCCCCUCCUUCGGAGUGGGACUAUAUGAUCCUCAUCAGGCCAAUCCACGUCACAGAAUGGUCUAGGCAUUGGAUGAGUGCCUCAAUCUGAGCCAAUGAAGGUCAUUGCUGAGACAUUUUACUGGUUGCCAGGCUGCAGGCAUCCCAGGCUUCCUGCUGCCCUCAUGUCUACAACCUGUCGUCUGGAACAUUCCAGGAGCCACUUUUAUCACUUGCAGCAAUCUUCUUCAGUGAGUUCCCCAGGACUUGAUUUCAUCUUACAAUCUGAUUCCAUGUGUCUCCCAUAUUUUAAGGAUUCUUUAUUAUUUCUGGCUUACAGAGAACAAAUACCACAGACUGGGCAAUUUAUAAAUGAUGGAAGUUUAUUUGGCUCAUGGUUCUGGAGACUGGGAAGUCCAAGAACAUGGCACUGUCAUCUGGUGA
RNAcentral lists this long non-coding RNA (950 nucleotides) under Homo sapiens (human). Its description in RNAcentral is "HSALNT0092882". The record is from RNAcentral. Lineage: Eukaryota; Metazoa; Chordata; Mammalia; Primates; Hominidae.